This 253-nucleotide ribosomal RNA is filed under the name uncultured bacterium. Its description in RNAcentral is "partial 16S ribosomal RNA". It matches the Rfam family "Bacterial small subunit ribosomal RNA", at positions 524 to 776 of the family's 1533-position model. The record is from RNAcentral.
UACGUAGGGGGCAAGCGUUGUCCGGAUUUAUUGGGCGUAAAGAGCGUGUAGGCGGCCGUACAGGUCAGCUGUGAAAACUCGAGGCUCAACCUCGAGACGUCGGUUGAAACCGUACGGCUAGAGUCCGGAAGAGGAGAUUGGAAUUCCCGGUGUAGCGGUGAAAUGCGCAGAUAUCGGGAAGAACACCCGUGGCGAAGGCGGCUCUCUGGGACGGUACUGACGCUGAGACGCGAAAGCGUGGGGAGCGAACAGG